AAUCGAGCGGCGCGGUUAUGGUGGGUGUGGCUGGAAGGAGGCGCGGCGAGGCCUCCGCCCGCCUCCCUCGAGUUUCUCAGGCGAAGAUCCCCGCAGGGCUGGUGGACACGCGCGUGGGUGAAGGGAGAGGCGUGGCCAGUGUCACAGCGGUACGGAGGACUCUUUGGAAGUUCCUAAAGAGCCGUCGAUAUCUCUGCUGCCCAGUGGUCUUAAGUGACCUAAGUUGUCCUGUAGGGACAACAAACAAGAGAAGCAUGGACUGACCAACACGGGGGGAUUACAAACUCCCUGGUUGGUCAGGAGAAGCUCCUCAAACUGAAUGGCAGAGAAAGUGACCCUAGAAGUUGCUAAGAAGCUGGGGCGGCCGCAAUGGAAGAAACCAUAAGAAGACAGCGUGUGUCAUCGAGGCAGCCAGCAGUGGAGAAGAGCACUGCCAUAUCCUGCAAGACAUCCGUUAAGAUUUGCUGAAGCUUUAUGAAAAGCAAAGAUGACAAGUGACUCACAGCUGUUUGCCCCAGUAACUAUAAAUCAAAAAGAUGCAAUUGGCUUGGCUUAAAGCAAGUGUUUGGAACAACAGAAGUACUGGAAGUAUAAUACCUAAACUCCAAGCAUUUAGUAUUUGUACAGUAUAAUCAGUGUAAAUAAAUAAUGGAAACUAA
Non-coding RNA from Pantherophis guttatus, 659 nucleotides. The record is from RefSeq and is a predicted model, not a curated record. Lineage: Eukaryota; Metazoa; Chordata; Lepidosauria; Squamata; Colubridae.